GAUGAACGCUGGCGGCGUGCUUAACACAUGCAAGUCGAACGGAAAGGCUCCUGCUUGCAGGGGUACUCGAGUGGCGAACGGGUGAGUAACACGUGGGUGAUCUGCCCUGCACUUCGGGAUAAGCCUGGGAAACUGGGUCUAAUACCGGAUAGGACGAUGGUUUGGAUGCCAUUGUGGAAAGUUUUUCGGUGUGGGAUGAGCUCGCGGCCUAUCGGCUUGUUGGUGGGGUAAUGGCCUACCAAGGCGUCGACGGGUAGCCGGCCUGAGAGGGUGUACGGCCACACUGGGACUGAGAUACGGCCCAGACUCCUACGGGAGGCAGCAGUGGGGAAUAUUGCACAAUGGGCGCAAGCCUGAUGCAGCGACGCCGCGUGGGGGAUGACGGCCUUCGGGUUGUAAACUCCUUUCGCUAGGGACGAAGCGCAAGUGACGGUACCUGGAGAAGAAGCACCGGCUAACUACGUG
RNAcentral lists this ribosomal RNA (465 nucleotides) under uncultured bacterium. Its description in RNAcentral is "partial 16S ribosomal RNA". It matches the Rfam family "Bacterial small subunit ribosomal RNA", at positions 28 to 507 of the family's 1533-position model. The record is from RNAcentral.